GCCAAGAGACGGACUGUUCUGACGCGCGCCCAGAUGGACCCGUCGCCCGGGUGACCGGGAAGGUGGGGUGACGUUUGCGCAAGAGGAAGGAGAGGUGAAACAACCAUUCCCCUCAGUUUGAUCCACCACGUGAUCGUUUGUUAUCAUUGAGAGGGUCGCCCCUGCGGCCGCGCAGCACCUAGGAUUAACCCUCCGCGCGCCGGCGCUCGGUCUGUGUUUGCUCCGCCGUGCUUCUAAGGCCAGGUUGCUUGAAAGUUUCUGUGAAUGAUCACUCCACCGUAAUUAUGGUUUUUGCAGAAGGAGUAGGAUAGUGGUGCAUGGUUAUGUUGCAGCAGAGGAUGAGCAAAGGAUUGCUAUCAUCACAGAGCUGGGAGGCAUAAGGUGGAACCCUCAGAAGUUCUGCAACUUUGAAGAUAAUUUGUGACCUAUUUGGGUGAGGUAUGGGGAAUGAUGGUAAAAUUUAAAUAUUAAAUAAUGUCUGACUGUUCUAUAAUCAGAAGAUACCCAAAGCUAAAUAAAUAAUUGAUUGGUUCAAAGCAGUGUGUAAAAGACCAACUCCAGCUGUGACCCUUUUUGCCUCAGUGAGGUUGGGUUAGGGUUAGGGUGAUAGCAGAAACCGCCAUUUGGCAAAUUCCCAUUAAGGUCUUUUAAAGUUUACAACUUUGUAUUAUCUUGGCCUACUUCCUAGUUUGCUGACUUCUUCCAAGUGAAAAGCAUUCAUAAGUCCUGUGUAUAAUUUAUCCUGCUGUUACUAUUUCCUCAACUUUCUGUUUCUGAAGUCCUGUUGACCAGUCUCAAGGCAAGCAGAGCAAGAGCCACCCACUGGCUCCUUACAUUCUACGGGAAUCUGAAACAGAUUUCAUUGUUAAAAAAAUCAAAAUCAAGGAAGAGAAGAGAAAAAGUGACAAAUGUGCACUUUGCAAAAACCUCUCACUGUUGCUUUUGAAAGAAAAGGUCUUAAGAACCCAAUGCUUCUCUAGCAACUCUAACCUUGCUAUACAACUUUUUGUGCCUCUUGGAAAAUCAACAAAAUUUCCUAAACUGGCCUUUAAGUAGCUAUAGUUACUCUCUUUCUUUGGACUAUAUAACACUGAAUUUACUGGGUUAUAUUUCUAAACAAAUGUUUAUUUUUUAUCUUUUAAAAUUAUGUUAUCAGUUCACAUUAUUUUAAAGCAGUUGAGAAACGAAGUACGGUAAGUUUGUCCGUGUUUUACUCAAAACAUUUUUUAACAAAGUUCCAUAAGCAUGUUUGUACUUUUAAAUAACAAAGCACCAUUUAUUUAAAAUAAACCCAAAUUUCCAUUUAGGAGUUGUGUGGUUUCUGUUUUGUUUCCUUGCACAUGGCAGUUUUUGUAGAAUCCUAUUUGGAACUCCUUGUCAGCAAGGUUUUCUUUGGAACUGUAUAAUUAUAAUUGCAUAAUUCAUAUGACGUAUUAUUCCUUACAAUGUAUGCUGGUGUUGUUCAUAGUUUAUUGUGCAAUUUAUGGGCUCCAAAGAAUACCAUUUUAAUGUAUAGGAUAGGGUUAGGAUUAGGAUUAGUGUUUUAAAUGUGACAUUUAGUGCUAAAAAUGUUAUUACAACAUCUAUGACAGCUUUAUCAACAUUUGUACAAAGGUUCUCUUUCUUGUCUUGAAUUUCUUUUUUCUUAUGCUCCGAAAUAAUAUUUCUAUGCUCUAUGCUCUGUUAAAUGGAGCACCAUAUUCUGCUUGAAGCAUAUUCUGUUUCAAAGAUGGGCAUUUAAAAAGUUAGUAUGACCAUGGUAAACAAUAUAUUUUAUUAACAGCUGUGUAAAUAAAUUCAAUUCACUACUCUUAUUAUGCCAAAAAAAUUACCUGACUAAAUUUUCAUAAAAUUUCAGUAGGAAUCUAGGGGUCACAAAUAACUAAAGAGCUCAACAACCCAAUUUUGUUUAAAUAUGAAGAA
Notechis scutatus (mainland tiger snake) is the source of this 1923-nucleotide long non-coding RNA. RefSeq lists it as uncharacterized. Lineage: Eukaryota; Metazoa; Chordata; Lepidosauria; Squamata; Elapidae. The record is from RefSeq and is a predicted model, not a curated record.